GCCCGGGCCGGGCCGCGCCGCGCCACAGGGGCGGCGGCGGCGGCGGGGGGCGAGGGGCGGCCCCGCGCCCGGCCCGGCCCGGCCUCCCUCGCCUCGCCUGCGGGCGGAGGAGCAGUUUCACCUGACGGCAGCCGGGCCGAGCCGAGCCGAGCCAGGCCGGACCGCCAGCGCCACCUGCUGCCUCCGCGCCCGCACCCCGGCCCGGCUCCCGCCUCCCGCCUCCCCCUCCUCCCCCUCAGCGCCGGGGGCCGGGGGCCGCGCCGCGGCCUGCAGCCGGGCCGGAGGCCGCCCCAGGCGAGGGCGCGGGGGCGCCGUCCUCCUGACGAGAAAAACAAACGUGUCCUCUUUCUGGACAAAAACCCGGGCACGUCAAGGUGUCGCGGCCGCCCCAGACCCAGCGCCUUCGUGUCCGCCGCUUCCUCGCCCAGAAAGAGACACGCUUUUGUCCCCGAGAGAAAGACGCGGGGGUUUCGUGUCCGCGCGGGGCAGAGUGGCAGGACAUGAGGCCGUGGCGGGGGCCGGCAGUGUUUUUGGGACGGCGUGCCACGCCGUGACCCUGACUUGUACGACGUCGGGGCCCGCCGGGGCACGUGCGCCGAGCAAAAUGCCUUCACGCGCCGCGCCGUGGCACCCGUGCCCCCACUCCGUACACGAGCCCCAUGGCGAGCGUGGAAGAAAUCCCCCUUCGCCUGUGAUUUAGCUGUGGGGAAAUACUUGGGGUCGGUCUACGCGGGAUCUCGUGCCGCUUUAACUAGAUCCGUUUGGAAACCAGGACGGCUGAAGGGGUGCGACCCCUCGAAACGGAAGCGGUUACUUGGGGUUGGUAGGUGCGUGCGCCGUACCAGCACCGCAGCCAGUUCCUAGACGGUAAAACGUGAGCUGAGGUAGCGGGUUCAAUAAAGUCGCCAUUCGCUCGUCCUACGGCAAGCCGCGGCCCAAGUAAAUGUAGUCGCUGAGGUGCCCGCAGGUGUGCUUGGCGCCGGCAGAGCGUUAUAGGCAUGUCCUGAGCACCACGGCCUGUCUGCUGCCAUUUCAUCUUCGUUAAGGAAAUGGCAUCUAAUGUCCACCGAUGGGAAAUCAAUGAUGGAUGAACGUGGCAAAUGGAGGCUACUGUCUGGAAGAGCAACGUCGUUUUUUAAAGGACUGGACACGGGAAGGUUGCAACCUUCAGGUGUUUGAGCCCAGCGGAAAUCCGAUUUGGAAAUUGUUUUGUCUGAGUUUUUUUUCUGUUCUUGGGGCCAGCCAUAUUGAUGUAAGGCCAGCUGGACCGUUACGUCAGGGAUGGAUUUCGAUGCCUCGGGUUUACAGCCCUGCCACCUUCUCAGCAGACUCGAACAGUUUUUGCCUGUAAACACAGCAAAACAGAAGGCGCCUGACCAGAGCCCGGGGACAAGGGAGUCAAGUACAGCCAAGUACGUAGGCAGUAAUGUCAGGUGACGUCUCGUUAAGGACCGGACAGAAAAAUGGAGAUAUUUGCAUCUAACUUCUGUCACCUGCGUUGCAAGUUUAAAUCCAGCCGUGUGGCCCCUUGAAAUGCGUGCUGGUUGUGAGCAGAUGUCUUCACAAGGAGUGCCGCGACCGACACAUCUGUUGGACGUCUGAUCAGAGGGCACGUACUGACUGCGCCCCGGAGACACUGCUUCUUCCACCUCUCUACGGGGAGAAGACUGGAGGGGUCCCCUCAAACUUAGCAUUUUUUUUUUUCUGGGCAAUAAAUGAAGGACUUUAGAUGGGCACCUUUCUAAGUGUUAAAGGUGACGCCUAGUAAGAAAAGCAGCGACGAGAGCGCUGAACUACAGUUAAAUCAUUCUUUCCUGCACAAGAGGCUCCUGUCCACAGCUGCCUCCUUAAGACCUCUACAGCACGCAGGGCACAUCGAACCCAAAAACUCUCCUCCCAGACUCUUUUGGAAGCUGACUGAAACAAAUCGGUAGAGGGAGCUCUUUUGGCAGCAAGAAAAGUUUAUUGACUUCCUAUGCAAAGUGAAGCCUGGAGCAGGAAACACAGCGCAACACAAGGGAAUCCACGCAGCAUGGAUCACAUAAACCACAUUCUCGAAGUGGCUGAUUUCAGACAUGCUGAGCCUCCUUUUCUGAGAUGCCGAAUGUCUCAGCCCUUCCGGGGAACUACGAAGAAGCUGGCAAGAGCUAUGGACCUCUCGUGUAAUGAUUUUAACCCAAAUUCAUGAUCUGGCGCUGCUGAGUGGAUUUCAGGACGAAGAGCCCGCCACUGAAUACCUUGUCACCAGGCAGAGGUUCAACUCUAUGGGAUGCCACAAAAGCAUCGUACAAAACAGACGGAAAAUGCCUGACGAGUCUAGAGACAAACUGAAGCAGCAAAUUAAAUCCUGAGUUGAACUUCUUCAGACUUCGUAGGUGUCUAAAUCUCUGUUAGUUUGGCCGUGCCCAACUGCAAUUAGGUUACUUCUGAUCUGCCUCCAGCUCUGAUGCAGACCUGUUUUAACGGGUAUAUUUGUUGUUGUAUAAUUCUAACACGUGACCUCACUUCCUGUUCUUUUCUGCAUGACGCUGCACUUGGAAGGCCAGCUCCUGAACCUGCCGCACCGCAGCGCAGAACUAAAGGAUAUCAUCCUUAGAAAAACAAAAGGAUUAUUGCAAAUGAGGCACGUAAUCAGAUACAAUUAUAUAUUUUGAUUCUUAAAUUGAAGGAAACAGCUACAGGUAACUUUUCCAUGUCACAUAUUUCUGUCAGGUAAAGUACAUAUACCAGAGGGGAAAAAACAUUUCUCUCUCUCAGCUUUGGAAGUAUUAUUAUUGCAUAACGCCAAAGUACACAGUGCACUAUGUACUUUAUAUCCCCCACCCAUAUGCAUAUUUUUGAUGUCUUACGUCUACUGCAACAGAAAUAUUUCCCAGAAUCCUCUGUGCUUAACAAAACAUUGUAUGUUGCACCAAUGAAAACUGAUGAGGUUUCCUCAGUAAAAAUCCUGACAUUUCA
Alligator mississippiensis (American alligator) is the source of this 2958-nucleotide long non-coding RNA. RefSeq lists it as uncharacterized. The transcript has 2 exons. NCBI's taxonomy places the organism in Eukaryota, Metazoa, Chordata, Crocodylia, Alligatoridae. The record is from RefSeq and is a predicted model, not a curated record.